GACUUUGUGAAAUGACUUGACAGGUGUAGGAUAAGUGGGAGCCGGAGACGACGAAACUAAAAUAUCACUAUUUUUAACGUUAUUUUACUUAUUCCAUGAAUGCCCCUCUUUUAGAUCAAAGGCUCGCUUGCGAGCCAAUAGCCGGAAGACAUUAUC
Molecule: ribosomal RNA, 156 nt
Filed under: Daucus carota subsp. sativus
Lineage: Eukaryota; Viridiplantae; Streptophyta; Magnoliopsida; Apiales; Apiaceae
Description: rRNA LSU_rRNA_eukarya
Rfam family: Eukaryotic large subunit ribosomal RNA
Source: RNAcentral